GGGUUGUGAGGUUAAGCGACUAAGCGUACACGGUGGAUGCCCUGGCAGUCAGAGGCGAUGAAGGACGUGCUAAUCUGCGAAAAGCGCCGGCGAGGUGAUAUGAACCCUUGACCCGGCGAUGUCCGAAUGGGGAAACCCAGUGUGUUCCGACACACUAUCGUUAACUGAAUACAUAGGUUAACGAGGCGAACCGGGGGAACUGAAACAUCUAAGUACCCCGAGGAAAAGAAAUCAACCGAGAUUCCCCCAGUAGCGGCGAGCGAACGGGGAGCAGCCCGGAGUCUGAAUCAGCUUGUGUGUUAGUGGAACGGUCUGGAAAGUCCGACGGUACAGGGUGAUAGUCCCGUACACGAAAAUGCACAGGUUGUGAACUCGAAGAGUAGGGCGGGACACGUGGUAUCCUGUCUGAAUAUGGGGGGACCAUCCUCCAAGGCUAAAUACUCCUGACUGACCGAUAGUGAACCAGUACCGUGAGGGAAAGGCGAAAAGAACCCCGGCGAGGGGAGUGAAAAAGAACCUGAAACCGUGUACGUACAAGCAGUGGGAGCACCUUCGGGUGUGACUGCGUACCUUUUGUAUAAUGGGUCAGCGACUUAUAUUCUGUAGCAAGGUUAACCGUAUAGGGGAGCCGAAGGGAAACCGAGUCUUAACUGGGCGUUAAGUUGCAGGGUAUAGACCCGAAACCCGGUGAUCUAGCCAUGGGCAGGUUGAAGGUUGGGUAACACUAACUGGAGGACCGAACCGACUAAUGUUGAAAAAUUAGCGGAUGACCUGUGGCUGGGGGUGAAAGGCCAAUCAAACCGGGAGAUAGCUGGUUCUCCCCGAAAGCUAUUUAGGUAGCGCCUCGUGAACUCAUCUUCGGGGGUAGAGCACUGUUUCGGCUAGGGGGCCAUCCCGGCUUACCAACCCGAUGCAAACUACGAAUACCGAAGAAUGUUAUCACGGGAGACACACGGCGGGUGCUAACGUCCGUCGUGAAGAGGGAAACAACCCAGACCGCCAGCUAAGGUCCCAAAGUCAUGGUUAAGUGGGAAACGAUGUGGGAAGGCACAGACAGCCAGGAUGUUGGCUUAGAAGCAGCCAUCAUUUAAAGAAAGCGUAAUAGCUCACUGGUCGAGUCGGCCUGCGCGGAAGAUGUAACGGGGCUAAACCAUGCACCGAAGCUGCGGCAGCGACACUAUGUGUUGUUGGGUAGGGGAGCGUUCUGUAAGCCGUUGAAGGUGUGCUGUGAGGCAUGCUGGAGGUAUCAGAAGUGCGAAUGCUGACAUAAGUAACGAUAAAGCGGGUGAAAAGCCCGCUCGCCGGAAGACCAAGGGUUCCUGUCCAACGUUAAUCGGGGCAGGGUGAGUCGACCCCUAAGGCGAGGCCGAAAGGCGUAGUCGAUGGGAAACAGGUUAAUAUUCCUGUACUUGGUGUUACUGCGAAGGGGGGACGGAGAAGGCUAUGUCAGCCGGGCGACGGUUGUCCCGGUUUAAGCAUGUAGGCGGAGGUUCCAGGUAAAUCCGGUACCUUUUAACGCUGAGGUGUGAUGACGAGGCACUACGGUGCUGAAGUGAUAAAUGCCCUGCUUCCAGGAAAAGCCUCUAAGCAUCAGGUAACACGAAAUCGUACCCCAAACCGACACAGGUGGUCAGGUAGAGAAUACCAAGGCGCUUGAGAGAACUCGGGUGAAGGAACUAGGCAAAAUGGUGCCGUAACUUCGGGAGAAGGCACGCUGAUAUGUAGGUGAAGUCCCUGCGGACGGAGCUGAAAUCAGUCGAAGAUACCAGCUGGCUGCAACUGUUUAUUAAAAACACAGCACUGUGCAAACACGAAAGUGGACGUAUACGGUGUGACGCCUGCCCGGUGCCGGAAGGUUAAUUGAUGGGGUUAGCGGCAACGCGAAGCUCUUGAUCGAAGCCCCGGUAAACGGCGGCCGUAACUAUAACGGUCCUAAGGUAGCGAAAUUCCUUGUCGGGUAAGUUCCGACCUGCACGAAUGGCGUAAUGAUGGCCAGGCUGUCUCCACCCGAGACUCAGUGAAAUUGAACUCGCUGUGAAGAUGCAGUGUACCCGCGGCAAGACGGAAAGACCCCGUGAACCUUUACUAUAGCUUGACACUGAACACUGGUCCUUGAUGUGUAGGAUAGGUGGGAGGCUUUGAAGCGUGGACGCCAGUCUGCGUGGAGCCGUCCUUGAAAUACCACCCUUUAAUGGCUGGUGUUCUAACGUAGACCCGUGAUCCGGGUUGCGGACAGUGUCUGGUGGGUAGUUUGACUGGGGCGGUCUCCUCCCAAAGAGUAACGGAGGAGCACGAAGGUUGGCUAAUCCUGGUCGGACAUCAGGAGGUUAGUGCAAUGGCAUAAGCCAGCUUGACUGCGAGCGUGACGGCGCGAGCAGGUGCGAAAGCAGGUCAUAGUGAUCCGGUGGUUCUGAAUGGAAGGGCCAUCGCUCAACGGAUAAAAGGUACUCCGGGGAUAACAGGCUGAUACCGCCCAAGAGUUCAUAUCGACGGCGGUGUUUGGCACCUCGAUGUCGGCUCAUCACAUCCUGGGGCUGAAGUAGGUCCCAAGGGUAUGGCUGUUCGCCAUUUAAAGUGGUACGCGAGCUGGGUUUAGAACGUCGUGAGACAGUUCGGUCCCUAUCUGCCGUGGGCGCUGGAGAAUUGAGGGGGGCUGCUCCUAGUACGAGAGGACCGGAGUGGACGCAUCACUGGUGUUCGGGUUGUCAUGCCAAUGGCACUGCCCGGUAGCUAAAUGCGGAAGAGAUAAGUGCUGAAAGCAUCUAAGCACGAAACUUGCCCCGAGAUGAGUUCUCCCUGAGACUUUAAGUCUCCUGAAGGAACGUUGAAGACGACGACGUUGAUAGGUCGGGUGUGUAAGCGCAGCGAUGCGUUGAGCUAACCGAUACUAAUGAACCGUGAGGCUUAACCUUACAACGCCGAAGCUGUU
RNAcentral lists this ribosomal RNA (2929 nucleotides) under Enterobacter cloacae. Its description in RNAcentral is "bacterial LSU rRNA". It matches the Rfam family "Bacterial large subunit ribosomal RNA". Lineage: Bacteria; Pseudomonadati; Pseudomonadota; Gammaproteobacteria; Enterobacterales; Enterobacteriaceae. The record is from RNAcentral. RNAcentral also lists the same sequence under 1 other name.